This 493-nucleotide ribosomal RNA is filed under the name Lineidae sp. Pili_CB147_CB147_18_01. RNAcentral's name for it is "partial 16S ribosomal RNA". It matches the Rfam family "Bacterial large subunit ribosomal RNA", at positions 1832 to 2586 of the family's 2925-position model. Lineage: Eukaryota; Metazoa; Nemertea; Pilidiophora; Heteronemertea; Lineidae. The record is from RNAcentral.
UGUUUAGUGGGUUUUUAUACUAAAUAGUUUCUGCCCAGUGGGUUACUGAACGGCCGCGGUAUUUUGACCGUGCAAAGGUAGCAUAAUCAUUUGCCUCUUAAUUGGGGGCUUGUAUGAAAGAAAGAAUAAAAGCGCAGCUGUCUCUAAGAUAAAGUAGAAAUUGCUGAUUAUGUGAAGAAGCAUAAGUAGCGGAAAAAGACAAGAAGACCCUAUUAAGCUUUACUUUUAGACUUUGUUUUUUAUCUUAUAGAUAAUAAAAAACAAAGUCUACAGGGUUUGGUUGGGGUGACUAAAAAGGAAGAGAUCCUUUUUUUUUAUUUUUAGUUUGUUUUUAAUAAUGAUCCAAGUUUUUUGAUUAGUAGAACAAGUUACUAUAGGGAUAACAGCGUAAUUUUCUCGGAAAGUUCUUAUUAAUGAGAGAGUUUGCGACCUCGAUGNNGACUUAUUAUAUCCUACUAAGGUGUAGGCGCUGCUAGGGUUGGUCUGUUCGACC